GUCCCCGGGCUUCUCUGGGCUUCGGCUUCCUCGAGUGUAAACGGUUAGGAAUGGAGCAGCAGGGAACUGGCCCUGGCGAUGGCACUUGCUGUGGGGUGUUGGGCAAGUCACGUCCUAUUUUUAGGCUUCGUUCCUCAUCUCAGUGUGAAGGGAUUGGACUAGAUGGCCUCUCCGUUCCCUUCUAGUUCUUCCUAACUGUGAAACAGCCUUGAUAAUACGUGUGAAGCUUCCUUGUAAAUGUACACUUUAAGCGAUCUGGGCGGCAGUUCCGGGCCACCUGCCCCUGCAGAUGCUUAGCGUGUGACCCCUGGGGUAGCCCACCUCCUUCUCUGACCACUACCUUACACUCUGCCUGGAUCCAUGUAAUUGAAGGAAGCACACUAGUUCCCUUGCUCACCUGCUCACUUGCUCCAGCUGCCACUUCAUUUCUUGGAUACUAUGCAUGGAAUUGGGAUAAAGAAUGGAAGGACAGACAGGGAAGAACAGAGUGGGGCAAUUCUGUGAAGGGAAUAGUGUGAGAAAACUGACAUUAAUAACCGAGCACCUGCCAGAGUCUGAUUUGAACACAAGGCGCUGUGAUUCCAGGGCUCCGAUCUUUUCCUCUCCACACUGCACCUCUGCUUUUGGAAACUUUUUCUGGGAAUUCCAAACCAAAAGUUUCAAAAACCCAUGAUGUCCCACGUGGCUGGCUCGUUAGUUCCCAGUUGAAGAGGCUGUGCAAAAUCACCUAAUUCCUGCAGCAGGAUAAAAAUCAAUAAUGAAUGGUGCUGUCCCAGAAUGAACACCAGCCUUGCUUAAAGAAAGGGAUCGCGUGACCUUAAAAAGAAGCGAGUUUGCAGACAUCCAAAGAAAGUCACUGGAUAUAUGUUUUAGG
Molecule: long non-coding RNA, 874 nt
Organism: Rhinolophus ferrumequinum (greater horseshoe bat)
Lineage: Eukaryota; Metazoa; Chordata; Mammalia; Chiroptera; Rhinolophidae
Exons: 3
Source: RefSeq, a predicted model, not a curated record